GAUGAACGCUAGCGGCAGGCCUAAUACAUGCAAGUCGAGGGGUAACAGGAAGUGCUUGCACUUCGCUGACGACCGGCGCACGGGUGAGUACCGCGUAUACAAUCUGCCUCAUACUAGGGAAUAGCCCGAAGAAAUUUGGAUUAAUACCCUAUAGUAUCUUUUUAAGGCAUCUUAUUAAGAUUAAAGGUUACGGUAUGAGAUGAGUAUGCGUUCUAUUAGCUAGUAGGUGUGGUAACGGCACACCUAGGCUACGAUCUAUAGCUGAUUUG
This 269-nucleotide ribosomal RNA is filed under the name uncultured Bacteroidota bacterium. Its description in RNAcentral is "uncultured Bacteroidetes bacterium partial 16S ribosomal RNA". It matches the Rfam family "Bacterial small subunit ribosomal RNA", at positions 28 to 294 of the family's 1533-position model. Lineage: Bacteria; Pseudomonadati; Bacteroidota. The record is from RNAcentral.